UAAGCUGGUAGAACCGACAACAGAAAAUAAUAAAAAUAGUCAGGUUAACGAUAACAAAGAAGUUUAUGGCGAAAAUGAUGACUUUAAUCUGACAGGAGACAAUGAAGAUGAUAAUAAAUAUGAGGAAGACAUCGCCAAUCUUGCAAAAGAAUUGUCUUGUAUGGAAAGUGAAUGAUUGGGUUGCUGUUGCAUAUGAAAAACAAUGAAAUAUUGGAUAUAUUGUGGAGGUAUCUAUAACUGGGAUCAGAGUUAAUUGUAUGAUUAACGGGCAAGAGAAGAAUAUUUUUCGCUGUCCAGUUACUACCGAGGAGAUAAAUAACAAAACUGAUAAAAUUAUCUGUUUAGUAAAUGCUCCUUUUCUAAUCAGUGGUUGUGGCGAUUAUUCAUUAUCCGAAGAAGACUAUAAUACAGUCAUAUCAUUAUUCUUAGAGAAACUUACUGCAGCAGAGUAGAAAUUAUGUGUGAUGUGGUGGAUAAUGUGUGUAAAUGACUCUAUUAAUAAAUGAAAAACUAAUUUUUAAAUGGAAAAACAUUUAAAUGUUUGA
Hydra vulgaris (swiftwater hydra) is the source of this 545-nucleotide long non-coding RNA. RefSeq lists it as uncharacterized. NCBI's taxonomy places the organism in Eukaryota, Metazoa, Cnidaria, Hydrozoa, Anthoathecata, Hydridae. The record is from RefSeq and is a predicted model, not a curated record.